RNAcentral lists this ribosomal RNA (150 nucleotides) under uncultured Enterobacterales bacterium. RNAcentral describes it as "partial 16S ribosomal RNA". It matches the Rfam family "Bacterial small subunit ribosomal RNA", at positions 369 to 511 of the family's 1533-position model. The record is from RNAcentral. Lineage: Bacteria; Pseudomonadati; Pseudomonadota; Gammaproteobacteria; Enterobacterales.
CAAUGGGCGCAAGCCUGAUGCAGCCAUGCCGCGUGUAUGAAGAAGGCCUUCGGGUUGUAAAGUACUUUCAGCGGGGAGGAAGGUGUUGUGGUUAAUAACCGCAGCAAUUGACGUUACCCGCAGAAAAAGCACCGGCUAACUCCGUGCCAG